GGUAAUGUGGCUUAGUGGUAGAGCAUUUGCUUGUCAUGUGUAAGGCCCUAUCCCUAGCAUUGCCA
RNAcentral lists this transfer RNA (65 nucleotides) under Urocitellus parryii (Arctic ground squirrel). Its description in RNAcentral is "Spermophilus parryii (Arctic ground squirrel) tRNA". It matches the Rfam family "tRNA". From Rfam's summary of the family: Transfer RNA (tRNA) molecules are approximately 80 nucleotides in length. Their secondary structure includes four short double-helical elements and three loops (D, anti-codon, and T loops). Lineage: Eukaryota; Metazoa; Chordata; Mammalia; Rodentia; Sciuridae. RNAcentral also lists the same sequence under 1 other name. The record is from Rfam by way of RNAcentral.